UAACAUCAAGCACUGCUUGGUAUUGGAUGUCACUUCUGUGGUGCAUCUCAAAAGUAUUGGCAGUAGCAUCUAGCUUCUAGUGUAGUAAUUUUCUCGCUAUGGAGUUGGGUGUGUGACUGUCAGAACCCCUAAUAUUUUAUAA
This 142-nucleotide unclassified non-coding RNA is filed under the name uncultured Helotiales. Its description in RNAcentral is "sequence contains ITS2". The record is from RNAcentral. Lineage: Eukaryota; Fungi; Ascomycota; Leotiomycetes; Helotiales.